RNAcentral lists this ribosomal RNA (346 nucleotides) under uncultured soil bacterium. RNAcentral's name for it is "bacterial SSU rRNA". It matches the Rfam family "Bacterial small subunit ribosomal RNA", at positions 26 to 376 of the family's 1533-position model. The record is from RNAcentral.
AGAUUGAACGCUGGCGGCAUGCCUUACACAUGCAAGUCGAACGGCAGCACGGGAGCAAUCCUGGUGGCGAGUGGCGAACGGGUGAGUAAUAUAUCGGAACGUGCCCAGUCGUGGGGGAUAACGCAGUGAAAGCUGUGCUAAUACCGCAUACGAUCUAUGGAUGAAAGCGGGGGACUCGCAAGAGCCUCGCGCGAUUGGAGCGGCCGAUAUCAGAUUAGCUAGUUGGUGGGUAAAAGCCCACAAGGCGACGAUCUGUAGCUGGUCUGAGAGGACGACCAGCCACACUGGAACUGAGACACGGUCCAGACUCCGACGGGAGCAGCAGUGGGGAAUUUGGACAAGUGGG